UGGGGAAUAUUGCACAAUGGGCGCAAGCCUGAUGCAGCCAUGCCGCGUGUAUGAAGAAGGCCUUCGGGUUGUAAAGUACUUUCAGUCGGGAGGAAGGUGGUAAGGUUAAUAACCUUAUCAAUUGACGUUACCGACAGAAGAAGCACCGGCUAACUCCGUGCCAGCAGCCGCGGUAAUACGGAGGGUGCAAGCGUUAAUCGGAAUUACUGGGCGUAAAGCGCACGCAGGCGGUUGAUUGAGUCAGAUGUGAAAUCCCCGGGCUUAACCCGGGAAUUGCAUCUGAUACUGGUCAACUAGAGUCUUGUAGAGGGGGGUAGAAUUCCAUGUGUAGCGGUGAAAUGCGUAGAGAUGUGGAGGAAUACCGGUGGCGAAGGCGGCCCCCUGGACAAAGACUGACGCUCAGGUGCGAAAGCGUGGGGAGCAAACAGG
This 429-nucleotide ribosomal RNA is filed under the name Chloroflexota bacterium. RNAcentral's name for it is "Chloroflexi bacterium partial 16S ribosomal RNA". It matches the Rfam family "Bacterial small subunit ribosomal RNA", at positions 355 to 776 of the family's 1533-position model. Lineage: Bacteria; Bacillati; Chloroflexota. The record is from RNAcentral.